CCUACGGGUGGCAGCAGUGAGGAAUAUUGGUCAAUGGGCGCGAGCCUGAACCAGCCAAGUAGCGUGAAGGAUGACUGCCCUAUGGGUUGUAAACUUCUUUUAUAAGGGAAUAAAGUGAGGCACGUGUGCCGUUUUGUAUGUACUUUAUGAAUAAGGAUCGGCUAACUCCGUGCCAGCAGCCGCGGUAAUACGGAGGAUCCGAGCGUUAUCCGGAUUUAUUGGGUUUAAAGGGAGCGUAGACGGGUGGUUAAGUCAGUUGUGAAAGUUUGCGGCUCAACCGUAAAAUUGCAGUUGAUACUGGCAGCCUUGAGUGCAGUAGAGGUAGGCGGAAUUCGUGGUGUAGCGGUGAAAUGCUUAGAUAUCACGAAGAACUCCGAUUGCGAAGGCAGCUUACUAGACUGCCACUGACGUUGAUGCUCGAAAGUGUGGGUAUCAAACAGGAUUAGAUACCCUAGUAGUC
This 460-nucleotide ribosomal RNA is filed under the name uncultured bacterium. RNAcentral's name for it is "partial 16S ribosomal RNA". It matches the Rfam family "Bacterial small subunit ribosomal RNA", at positions 338 to 795 of the family's 1533-position model. The record is from RNAcentral.